Molecule: long non-coding RNA, 1039 nt
Filed under: Marmota monax (woodchuck)
Lineage: Eukaryota; Metazoa; Chordata; Mammalia; Rodentia; Sciuridae
Source: RNAcentral
CACGCUUCCCCAAAGUGGCGCGCACUACUCCAGCGUGGGAAGGAAAGGACACAAACUUGGCCAUGUGCCAGAACACUUGGGGACGCCUGACUUUGGAGUCCCCUCAUUCCCCCAGGGAUCUGAAACGUACUCCCCACUUCCUAAGAGUCCAUGAGGCUCAGGUCCAAGGCCUGGGAAGAGUGGGAGAGUGUGGGCUGGCCUGGUAUGGGACACCCAGCCACGUUCCCCUCGCGGGGAAGGCGCGGAACAGUUGUCUUGCAAAGUUUCUCCCCCAUCACCACCACCAUCCGAGGAAGGGCGGCUCUUCCGGAGGUGAGGGCGGGGAAAAGGCCUCGGAGCCGGGAGUGGUGCAAGUUCCUGAAGCUGAGACCCGGGCGCGCCAAAGGGGCCUGGGCCACCAGCGCUUUCGUAAUCCCAGACUGCUGCACCUCACUUCGCUGCAAUGUCUGAUCGGAGUCGAGGCAGCGGGUGCUGCGCGGAGUCUGGGACGCUUGGAGACGCCAUUUGCAUCCCCCCUCCCUCCUGCAGGUUGGCGGGGGCGGGGGUGUCGCCCGCCGCGGAAGCGUAUUCCUGGCAGUGACACUGAUUAGAUACUGUGUCGGUACGUGCACAGAAUCGGGGUGGGCCUUCACCUCUCCUGUGCGCACACACUUUCUGUUGGAAAAAGUUGCGGGUUCCCCCCCCUCCUCCGCCCUCUCGCUGCACAGCUGCUGUCUCCAGGGCGGAAUUAGGCGGGCACGUUUGCUCAGCCGGAGGGAGAGAGGAUCGCGCCGGCGCGGGGAGGCCGCCGGGCCCAGGCCGCGAAAAUCCAGCCCUGGCUUUGCGUCGAGCUGCUGAGUGCGGCGCUUACGCGCGCCCGGCCAGCCGAGGCCUGGUUUCCAUCUGCCCCUUUUGCCUCCGUGUUAAGUGCGCCGGGGAAAACCCAACGAACCGUGCAGAACCCCUCGGAGGAGAGCCACCCCCCCCCCCAGCCUGAUCCUGACCGAUGGAAAAAAUGACAGUAUAGGUCAGAGCAGGCUGCCCGCGAGUAUUAAUGCGG